This 414-nucleotide ribosomal RNA is filed under the name uncultured eukaryote. Its description in RNAcentral is "bacterial SSU rRNA". It matches the Rfam family "Eukaryotic small subunit ribosomal RNA", at positions 457 to 888 of the family's 1831-position model. The record is from RNAcentral.
CAGGGAGGUAGUGACAAGAAAUAAUAGACCGGCGUAAAGCCGGGGUUUUACAAUGAGCCUAAUUUACACAGCUUAGUGAGGAUCCAUUGGAGGGCAAGUCUGGUGCCAGCAGCCGCGGUAAUUCCAGCUCCAAUAGCAUAUAUUAAAAUUGCUGCAGUUAAAAAGCUCGUAGUUGGAUUUCUGUGAGACUUGUUUUGUUCGGCCUGCGGGUCGGGCGAAUCACUUUUCACAUCCUUCUGUUAACCUUACACUCCUUCACCGGUGUGUCUGUGGGCUCAGAUACUUUACCUUGAGUAAAUUAGAGUGUUUCAGGCAAGCUUUCGCUUGAAUACAUUAGCAUGGAAUAAUAGAAAAGGACUUCGUUUCAUUUCAUUGGUUAUGAGCGGAGUAAUGAUUAAUAGGGAUAGUUGGGGG